Molecule: long non-coding RNA, 290 nt
Organism: Gallus gallus (chicken)
Lineage: Eukaryota; Metazoa; Chordata; Aves; Galliformes; Phasianidae
Source: Ensembl
CAUUAUUCAAACUGAAUUAUUAACUCAAGAUUUUUUCUUAAGUUGCAGUGGCAAAUCAUUUUUGAACACUGAAACAACCAGGAUUUCAGAAAAAAAAUGUUGUGCUCAUGUAACUACUUUGUGGUCUGUCCCUUUUUUUGUUCUUCAGGUCGUCAAUUAAGAUGUAGAACAAGACUGGACCCAGCUCUGAUGCCUGAGGAACAUCACUAGUUACAGACCUCCAACCAGACUCUGCACAGCUGAUGACAACCCUCUGAGCUCUCCCAGUCAGCCAGCUUCAGCGAAUACAC